Molecule: ribosomal RNA, 252 nt
Filed under: uncultured bacterium
Lineage: Bacteria
Description: partial 16S ribosomal RNA
Rfam family: Bacterial small subunit ribosomal RNA
Source: RNAcentral
UACGUAGGUGGCAAGCGUUGUCCGGAAUUAUUGGGCGUAAAGCGCGCGCAGGCGGUUAUGUAAGUCUGAUGUUAAAGCCCGGGGCUCAACCUCGGGUCGCAUUGGAAACUGUGUAACUUGAGGGCAGAAGAGGAAAGUGGUAUUCCACGUGUAGCGGUGAAAUGCGUAGAUAUGUGGAGGAACACCAGUGGCGAAGGCGACUUUCUGGUCUGUAACUGACGCUGAGGCGCGACAGCGUGGGGAGCAAACAGG